AGGAAUCAGCCAUCGGCUAACUCCGUGCCAGCAGCCGCCGGUAAGACGGAGGAUGCAAGCGUUCAUCCGGAAUGAUUGGGCGUAAAGCGCUCCGCAGGUGGCAGUUCAAGUCUGCUGCUCAAAGACCGGGGCUCAACCUCGGCAAAGGCAGUGGAAACUGAACAGCUAGACGUAUGGUAGGGGCAAAGGGAAUUCCCUGGUGUAGCGGUGAAAUGCGUAGAGAUCCAGGAAGAACAUCGGUGGCGAACGGCGCUUUGCUGGACCAUAACUGACACUCACGGGACGAAAGCUAGGGGAGCGCAAUGGGAUUAGAUACCCCAGUAGUCCUAGCCCGUAAACGAUGGAUACUAGGUCGUUGUCUGUAUCGACCCGGACAGUGCCGUAGCCUAACGCGUUAAGUAUCCCGCCCUGGGGAGUACGCACGCAAGUGUGAAACUCAACAGGAAUUGACGGGGGCCCCGCACAAGCGGUGGAGUAUGUGGUUUAAUUCGAUGCAACGCGAAGAACCUUACCAGGA
Molecule: ribosomal RNA, 517 nt
Filed under: uncultured bacterium
Lineage: Bacteria
Description: bacterial SSU rRNA
Rfam family: Bacterial small subunit ribosomal RNA
Source: RNAcentral